UACAGAGGGUGCGAGCGUUAAUCGGAAUUACUGGGCGUAAAGGGCGCGUAGGUGGUUACGUAAGUGAGAUGUGAAAUCCCUGGGCUUAACCUAGGAACUGCAUCUUAUACUGUGUGACUAGAGUACUGUAGAGGGUAGUGGAAUUUCCGGUGUAGCGGUGAAAUGCGUAGAGAUCGGAAGGAACACCAGUGGCGAAGGCGGCUACCUGGACAGAUACUGACACUGAGGCGCGAGAGCGUGGGGAGCAAACAGG
Molecule: ribosomal RNA, 253 nt
Filed under: uncultured bacterium
Lineage: Bacteria
Description: partial 16S ribosomal RNA
Rfam family: Bacterial small subunit ribosomal RNA
Source: RNAcentral